This 553-nucleotide ribosomal RNA is filed under the name Conicofrontia sesamoides. RNAcentral describes it as "partial 16S ribosomal RNA". Lineage: Eukaryota; Metazoa; Arthropoda; Insecta; Lepidoptera; Noctuidae. The record is from RNAcentral.
AUGUCUUUUUGUAAAUAAUAUAAAGUCUAAUCUGCCCACUGAUUUUAAAAUUGAAGGGCUGCAGUAUUUUGACUGUACAAAGGUAGCAUAAUCAUUAGUCAUUUAAUUGGUGACUUGAAUGAAGGAUUGGAUGAGAUAUAAACUGUCUCUUAAUUAUAAUUAUAGAAUUUAAUUUUUUUAUUAAAAAGUUAAAAUAAUUUAAAAAGACGAGAAGACCCUAUAGAGUUUUAUAAGUAUUUUAAUUAAGAUUGUUUUGUAGAUUAAGUUUGAAAUUAAAUUAUUUAUUUUGUUGGGGUGACAAAAAAAUAUAUAAAACUUUUUUUAUAGUAUAUAUAUACACAAUAUGUGUAUAUAGUAAUAGUAGAUUAACAUUUAUAAGUGAUUAAAUGAUCCAGUAAUAUUGAUUAUAAGAAAAAAUUACCUUAGGGAUAACAGCGUAAUUUUUUUUUUUAGUUCAAAUAAGAAAAAGAGUUUGCGACCUCGAUGUUGGAUUAAGAUAAAAUUUAAGUGUAGAAGUUUAAAAUUUUGAUCUGUUCGAUCAUUAAAAUCUUAC